GACGAACGCUGGCGGCGUGCUUAACACAUGCAAGUCGAGCGGUAAGGCCCUUUCGGGGUACACGAGCGGCGAACGGGUGAGUAACACGUGGGUGACCUGCCCUCAGCUCUGGGAUAAGCCUGGGAAACCGGGUCUAAUACUGGAUAUGACUCCAUGACGCAUGUUGUGGGGUGGAAAGCCUUGUGCGGCUGAGGAUGGGCCCGCGCCUAUCAGCUUGUUGGUGGGGUGAGGCCUACCAAGGCGACGACGGGUAGCCGGCCUGAGAGGGCGACCGGCCACACUGGGACUGAGACACGGCCCAGACUCCUACGGGAGGCAGCAGUGGGGAAUCUUGCGCAAUGGGCGAAAGCCUGACGCAGCGACGCCGCGUGAGGGAUGACGGCCUC
This 386-nucleotide ribosomal RNA is filed under the name uncultured bacterium. RNAcentral's name for it is "bacterial SSU rRNA". It matches the Rfam family "Bacterial small subunit ribosomal RNA", at positions 28 to 418 of the family's 1533-position model. The record is from RNAcentral.